GAUGAACGCUGGCUACAGGCUUAACACAUGCAAGUCGAGGGGAAACGGCGUUUGGUGCUUGCACCGAAUGGACGUCGACCGGCGCACGGGUGAGUAACGCGUAUCCAACCUUCCCGUUACUGCGGGAUAACCUGCCGAAAGGCAGACUAAUACCGCAUGUUCUUCGAUGACGGCAUCAGAUUCGAAGCAAAGAUCCGUCGGUAACGGAGGGGGAUGCGUCUGAUUAGCUAGUUGGCGGGGCGACGGCCCACCAAGGCGACGAUCAGUAGGGGUUUUGAGAGGAAGGUCCCCCACAUUGGAACUGAGACACGGUCCGAACUCCUACGGGAGGCAGCAGUGAGGAAUAUUGGUCAAUGGGCGGAAGCCUGAACCAGCCAAGUAGCGUGCAGGAUGACGGCCCUACGGGUUGUAAACUGCUUUUAUGCGGGGAUAAAGUGAGGGACGC
This 445-nucleotide ribosomal RNA is filed under the name Prevotella sp. oral taxon G57. RNAcentral's name for it is "bacterial SSU rRNA". It matches the Rfam family "Bacterial small subunit ribosomal RNA", at positions 28 to 461 of the family's 1533-position model. Lineage: Bacteria; Pseudomonadati; Bacteroidota; Bacteroidia; Bacteroidales; Prevotellaceae. The record is from RNAcentral.